AUGUACCACUCGUACACUCCGGUUCCUGUGCGCCGCCCGCACCCGCCUGACGACUGCUCGCGAAGUCCUUGAUCG
Molecule: small RNA, 75 nt
Filed under: Xanthomonas vasicola
Lineage: Bacteria; Pseudomonadati; Pseudomonadota; Gammaproteobacteria; Lysobacterales; Lysobacteraceae
Description: sX9 sRNA
Rfam family: Xanthomonas sRNA sX9
Source: RNAcentral